GAAUUUUGCUCUUAACUGCCAUAGAAUGAGUAUGUGCAUGCAUAUGCGUGUGGAAGACAGACUUUUAUCAUUGAUUUUUUUUAAAUAGGAAAACUAAACAACAACUAAAAACUUUCUUUCUUUUUUUUUUUGAGACGGAGUCUGGCUCUGUCUCCCAGGCUGGAGUGCAGUGGCGCGAUCUCGGCUCACUGCAAGCUCCGCCUCCCAGAUUCACGCCAUUCUCCUGCCUCAGCCUCCCGAGCAGCUGGGACUACAGGCACCCGCCACCACACCCGGCUACUUUUUUGUAUUUUUAGUAGAAAUGGGGUUUCACCGGGUUAGCCAGGAUGGUCUCGAUCCCUGACCUGGUGAUCCACCCGCCUCGGCCUCCCAAGGUACUGGGAUUACAGGCGUGAGCCACCGCGCCCGGUCCUAAAAACUUUCUUAGUGAGAAAGAGAUAAAUGGAGGAGGAAAGCAAGAUAAAGAGGUUUGGGAUCUUUUCUGGGAUUUUGCUGAACAGGGCGUGGUGACACUGGAGGAGUCAGCAGAUUCGGUAGCAGAAGAAAGGCAAGAAGAAAGA
Molecule: long non-coding RNA, 560 nt
Organism: Homo sapiens (human)
Lineage: Eukaryota; Metazoa; Chordata; Mammalia; Primates; Hominidae
Source: Ensembl